GAAUCGGAGAAGAGAGGAGAACAGAGCAGAUUGAGAGAUAAGAAAGGGUCGGAGGAGGGAGCCGAUGAGCGUCCCUAAUUCCACAAUCGAAAUGGGAUGAAGUAUACCAAAACUAUGUAUCUCGAAGACUUGAACUUGGUGAUUUAUUUUUGGGAGUUAUCGAUAAGCUUCUAGCCGAGCGGAAGAAUCACUUUUGAUAUCGGGGAUCAGUUCAGAUGACUAUGUGGAGACUUUAGUUAUUUGAUAGGACAUCUACCAAGAAGAAUAAAGAAGGGGUCAUGGUGGGCAGAAGGCCAACAUCUGCGAUCACUGCCCAAUGAGGUUGUCGGCGACCUGGACUAGGCAAUGGUGGCAGCCAUUUUAUCUCCACCGCCCUUGAAAUCGAGUUCCUUCUCCUCUCUUCGAAGAGAGAGAGAGAGAGAGAGAGAGAGGAGGUGGGAGAAGGCGAAAACGGUGUUUAUUUAGCGGCGGCCUCUCGAUGCCAGCAACCACCGAACAGUUGAGGUUGUCGGCAUUCUCGCCUGGAUAGCGCUCGUAGGUGCUGACCGACCACCAGCUCGCUGAAUGUUUCUUCGACUGUUUAGUUGCUCUUUUCCUUUUCUUUUUUCAACUUCUGAAAUUAUUUUUUAUUUUCAGAAAUUUAUAAUAAUUUAAUUUAUACUUAAAUAAUUAGCAUAAGGAUAUCUUAGUCAUUUUACUUCGAUAUUCCAAAUUCAAGCCUUGACUUAAUGGAAUAGUC
This is a non-coding RNA of Punica granatum (pomegranate), 739 nucleotides long. The record is from RefSeq and is a predicted model, not a curated record. Lineage: Eukaryota; Viridiplantae; Streptophyta; Magnoliopsida; Myrtales; Lythraceae.